UUACUCAUAAAAUAAGUCACAACAUCACCGAAAACUACCACAUGCUCUUAUUUUAAAUAUUGAACUCUCAUAAUUAGAAAUUUCUCCCCUUUCAAACUGAAAUGAUAUAUAACAAAUGAAUGGCACAACCAUGUAAAUCUUUCAUUUUAAAUGUUAAACCGAAUGGACUCUUAAAAGUGAAGGGUAAGGCAUGUUCACCUUUUUCUCCUUUGUUGAUCUUACCAAAACUGCAGCCAAAUGCAAGUAUAAAGUAUAUUUUUGAUUUUGCCAUUUGAUUCGGGACUUUCCAUUUUUAAUU
RNAcentral lists this long non-coding RNA (298 nucleotides) under Mytilus galloprovincialis (Mediterranean mussel). Lineage: Eukaryota; Metazoa; Mollusca; Bivalvia; Mytilida; Mytilidae. The record is from RNAcentral.